This 1181-nucleotide long non-coding RNA is filed under the name Papio anubis (olive baboon). RNAcentral's name for it is "lncRNA (ENSPANG00000041447.1)". Lineage: Eukaryota; Metazoa; Chordata; Mammalia; Primates; Cercopithecidae. The record is from RNAcentral.
UAAUCAAUGCUAAUCCCAGAGGAUAGGAAGGUGGAGCUUGUUUUAAGACGGGGGAAGGGCAGUGUCUGUGAUCAUGACACACAUCAGACGCUUCCCCUUCUAGACAUGUCAGGGGAUGUGAUGGCUUAUGGGAGGUGCUCUGGAAUAAAAGGGAGGGGGUUGUUCUUCCCUGGCCGGCUUUUAUCUUUAAUUGUCAACACUCCUGGCCUGCAGAGGAUUGAAAAGAAAACACUGCACAGGCCUAAAUCAGUCAGAGUAGCAGGGAAGGCGUGAGAUCCUCCACACUCAGGAUUUAAGUCUCUUCCUGCAAGUGGGGAACUUUGUUCUAUGCCUGGCCCACCUGUGCCUACUUCAAAAUGGUCCUGGACCUGGCCCCUGGUCUGCAAAGAAUGAAGUGAGGCAACAUCACUUGACCCCUAAAUCACUGAAGAAAUGUUUGCCUACCCAAGGAAAUGUGAUUCCUGGAAGUCCAGAUUUAUAAAGGAAAGAAGAGGAGUACUCACUGGCUGGCUGGCUGGCUCCCCUCAAGCUCCCUGGAAGAUCCCUUCUGUAGAAGAUAUUCUUCAGCAUUCGCUGCUGGAACCACCCAUCCCACCUGUAGUCAUAAGAGCAUCCCCGAGUCUCAUCUCAGUUUUCCUCCCUGAGAGCCCAGCUAAAUGCAGAAAGCUGGAGAGUAGGCUCUUGGGCGGAAGGGACUUGCCUUGUCUCAGAUGAGACUUUGGACUGUGGACUUUUGGGUUAUUGCUGAAAUGAGUUGAGACAUUGGGGGACUGUUGGGAAGGCAUGAUUAGUUUUGAAAUGUGAGGACAUGAGAUUUGGAGGAGCCAGGGGUAGAAUGAUAUGGUUUGGCUGUGUCCCCACCCAAAUCUCAUCUUGAAUUGUACUCCCAUGAUUCCUAUGUGUUGUGAGAGGGACCCGGUGCAAGAUCAUUUGAAUCAUGUGGGCAGUUUCCCCUGUACUGUUCUCAUAGUAGUGAAUAAGUCUCAUGAGAUCUGGUAGUUUUAUCAGGGGUUUCCACUUUUGCAUCUUCCUUACUUCUUGCUGUUGCUAUGUAAGAAGUGCCUUUCCCCUCCUACCAUGAUUCUGAGGUCUCCCCAGCCAUGUGGAAAUGUAAGUCCAAUUAAACCUCUUUUUCUUCCCAGUUUUGGGUAUGUCUUUAUCAGCAGCAUGAAAAUGGACUA